AUUGAACGCUGGCGGCAUGCCUUACACAUGCAAGUCGAACGGCAGCACGGGAGCAAUCCUGGUGGCGAGUGGCGAACGGGUGAGUAAUGUAUCGGAACGUACCUUUCAGUGGGGGAUAACGUAGCGAAAGUUACGCUAAUACCGCAUAUUCUGUGAGCAGGAAAGCAGGGGAUCGCAAGACCUUGCGCUGAUUGAGCGGCCGAUAUCAGAUUAGCUAGUUGGUGAGGUAAAGGCUCACCAAGGCGACGAUCUGUAGCGGGUCUGAGAGGAUGAUCCGCCACACUGGAACUGAGACACGGUCCAGACUCCUACGGGAGGCAGCAGCGGGGAAUUUUGGACAAUGGGCGCAAGCCUGAUCCAGCCAUGCCGCGUGAGUGAAGAAGGCCUCGGUUGUAA
Molecule: ribosomal RNA, 396 nt
Filed under: uncultured bacterium
Lineage: Bacteria
Description: bacterial SSU rRNA
Rfam family: Bacterial small subunit ribosomal RNA
Source: RNAcentral